UCCCUCUAGAUUCCUUAUCCAUCAAAUCUAAAUAGUGAUUUUAGUGUAUUUAAAAAUAAAGAGGAUCAAAAGUAAAAUUGAAAUGGACGUGGAGUCUUUAGUGACAGACAUGGUCAUCUCAAACAAUA
RNAcentral lists this small nucleolar RNA (128 nucleotides) under Echinops telfairi (small Madagascar hedgehog). RNAcentral's name for it is "Small nucleolar RNA SNORA61 (ENSETEG00000026561.1)". The record is from RNAcentral. Lineage: Eukaryota; Metazoa; Chordata; Mammalia; Afrosoricida; Tenrecidae.